RNAcentral lists this small RNA (440 nucleotides) under Arabidopsis thaliana (thale cress). RNAcentral's name for it is "putative long intergenic non-coding RNA". The stretch from base 1 to 294 matches the Rfam family "Plant signal recognition particle RNA". The record is from RNAcentral. Lineage: Eukaryota; Viridiplantae; Streptophyta; Magnoliopsida; Brassicales; Brassicaceae.
AACAUGAGCUUGUAACCCAUGUGGGGACAUUUAGAUGGUGGAACACUGGUUCGGGUCCACGGGCCGGUUCUGUUGUUGGCAUGUUUCUGGGCUGCCCAGUCCAAGCUGUGAGUAAGACGUGUGUGUCAAGCGAAGGCUUGGCUCAAACGGCUUCUAAAGUUGGAGGGUAAUGCGUGAGGCUGGUUUCACAGAGCAGCGACUACUUCCCGCUUACAGCAGUGGACGGAUCACAGUUUAGCGUCGCUCAGAACCACUAUGGCCUGCUGGUCCGAUCUCAUAUGAACCACCAUUUUUUUCCUUCUUUUGAUUUUGUUUUCCAAAACUUUCUACGCUUUUUGUUUAUACUUUAAGAGGGAACAAAAGCAAACUUUGAACAAAGCAAGAGACGAAGAGUUGUAUUAUAUAGCUUUUGUUCUAUGUAUGGAAAAUAUACAAGUUUU